RNAcentral lists this ribosomal RNA (284 nucleotides) under Staphylococcus aureus. RNAcentral's name for it is "partial 16S ribosomal RNA". It matches the Rfam family "Bacterial small subunit ribosomal RNA", at positions 1258 to 1533 of the family's 1533-position model. The record is from RNAcentral. Lineage: Bacteria; Bacillati; Bacillota; Bacilli; Caryophanales; Staphylococcaceae.
CGAGGUCAAGCAAAUCCCAUAAAGUUGUUCUCAGUUCGGAUUGUAGUCUGCAACUCGACUACAUGAAGCUGGAAUCGCUAGUAAUCGUAGAUCAGCAUGCUACGGUGAAUACGUUCCCGGGUCUUGUACACACCGCCCGUCACACCACGAGAGUUUGUAACACCCGAAGCCGGUGGAGUAACCUUUUAGGAGCUAGCCGUCGAAGGUGGGACAAAUGAUUGGGGUGAAGUCGUAACAAGGUAGCCGUAUCGGAAGGUGCGGCUGGAUCACCUCCUUUCUAAGGA